This 158-nucleotide ribosomal RNA is filed under the name Gigaspora rosea. RNAcentral's name for it is "5.8S ribosomal RNA". It matches the Rfam family "5.8S ribosomal RNA". Rfam says of the family: 5.8S ribosomal RNA (5.8S rRNA) is a component of the large subunit of the eukaryotic ribosome. It is transcribed by RNA polymerase I as part of the 45S precursor that also contains 18S and 28S rRNA. Lineage: Eukaryota; Fungi; Glomeromycota; Glomeromycetes; Diversisporales; Gigasporaceae. The record is from RNAcentral.
AAACUUUCAACAAUGGAUCUCUUGGCUCUCGCAUCGAUGAARAACGCASCAAAAUGCGAUAAGUAAUAUGAAUUGCAGAAUUCCGUGAAUCAUCAAAUUUUUGAACGCAAAUUGCACUUCUUGGUAUUCCGAGAAGUACACAUGCUUGAGGGUCAGUU